Molecule: ribosomal RNA, 448 nt
Filed under: uncultured bacterium
Lineage: Bacteria
Description: bacterial SSU rRNA
Rfam family: Bacterial small subunit ribosomal RNA
Source: RNAcentral
UCCAGACUCCUACGGGAGGCAGCAGUGGGGGAUAUUGCACAAUGGGGGAAACCCUGAUGCAGCGACGCCGCGUGAGUGAAGAAGUAUUUCGGUAUGUAAAGCUCUAUCAGCAGGGAAGAAAAAAGACGGUACCUGACUAAGAAGCCCCGGCUAACUACGUGCCAGCAGCCGCGGUAAUACGUAGGGGGCAAGCGUUAUCCGGAUUUACUGGGUGUAAAGGGAGCGUAGACGGCAAUACAAGUCGGAAGUGAAAUACCCGGGCUCAACCUGGGAACUGCUUUGGAAACUGUAUGGCUGGAGUGCUGGAGAGGUAAGCGGAAUUCCUAGUGUAGCGGUGAAAUGCGUAGAUAUUAGGAGGAACACCAGUGGCGAAGGCGGCUUACUGGACAGUAACUGACGUUGAGGCUCGAAAGCGUGGGGAGCAAACAGGAUUAGAUACCCCUGUACU